GCGCCAGUGGCGAAAUUGGCAGACGCACCAGCUUGAGGGGCUGGCGCCCGAAAGGGCAUGAUGGUUCAAGUCCAUUCUGGCGCACCA
Molecule: transfer RNA, 87 nt
Filed under: Proteobacteria bacterium SG_bin7
Lineage: Bacteria; Pseudomonadati; Pseudomonadota
Description: tRNA-Leu
Rfam family: tRNA
About the family: Transfer RNA (tRNA) molecules are approximately 80 nucleotides in length. Their secondary structure includes four short double-helical elements and three loops (D, anti-codon, and T loops). Further hydrogen bonds mediate the characteristic L-shaped molecular structure. tRNAs have two regions of fundamental functional importance: the anti-codon, which is responsible for specific mRNA codon recognition, and the 3' end, to which the tRNAs corresponding amino acid is attached (by aminoacyl-tRNA synthetases). tRNAs cope with the degeneracy of the genetic code in two manners: having more than one tRNA (with a specific anti-codon) for a particular amino acid; and 'wobble' base-pairing, i.e. permitting non-standard base-pairing at the 3rd anti-codon position.
Source: RNAcentral